UACGUAGGGACCAAGCGUUGUUCGGAUUUACUGGGCGUAAAGGGCUCGUAGGCGGCCAACUAAGUCAGACGUGAAAUCCCUCGGCUUAACCGGGGAACUGCGUCUGAUACUGGAUGGCUUGAGAUUGGGAGAGGGAUGCGGAAUUCCAGGUGUAGCGGUGAAAUGCGUAGAUAUCUGGAGGAACACCGGUGGCGAAGGCGGCAUCCUGGACCAACACUGACGCUGAGGAGCGAAAGCCAGGGGAGCAAACGGG
This 253-nucleotide ribosomal RNA is filed under the name uncultured bacterium. RNAcentral describes it as "partial 16S ribosomal RNA". It matches the Rfam family "Bacterial small subunit ribosomal RNA", at positions 524 to 776 of the family's 1533-position model. The record is from RNAcentral.